RNAcentral lists this unclassified non-coding RNA (153 nucleotides) under uncultured Sordariomycetes. RNAcentral describes it as "sequence contains ITS2". Lineage: Eukaryota; Fungi; Ascomycota; Sordariomycetes. The record is from RNAcentral.
CAACCAUCAAGCCCCAGGCUUGUGUUGGAGCCCUGCGGCUGCCGCAGCCUCCCAAAAUCAGUGGCGGGCUCGCUAUUACACCGAGUGCAGUAGUUUACUCUUCGCUCAGGAUGUGUGGCGGGUGCUAGCCGUGAAACCCCCUACUUCUCAAGG